Molecule: ribosomal RNA, 38 nt
Filed under: Porpax reticulata
Lineage: Eukaryota; Viridiplantae; Streptophyta; Magnoliopsida; Asparagales; Orchidaceae
Description: partial 26S ribosomal RNA
Source: RNAcentral
GUGACCCCAGGAUGGGCGAGGCCACCCGCUGAGUUAAG